UGUAAGUAUACAAAAAUAAUAAAUACAUAGGUACAAGAAUAAAAUAUAACUAAUUACUUAUAGAUGAUGAGUGAACAAAAACAAAAAAAACAGCGAAAAACCUGGGCAACAGAGGAUGAAACGGUUUUGUUGGAGUUGUGGGCGGACAAACAGGCUGAAUUGAUCGACAAGAGAAAAAAUUCUCACGUUUAUAAGGAAAUGGCAGAGAUUUUGGUAGGAUCACAACUUAUCGAAUCGGUAUAGGAAGGAAGAGAAAUUGGUUGGCCCUUCUGUAAAUGCAAUUCUGGAAAAAAGACCCCUAAGUAACAUUGAAAAUCUACAAGAGGACAGCUUUAUGGAAACAAUUUUCUCCUCUCAAGAUUCAUCUCAAAACUCAUUGCCGGAGAUGUUUUCCGCUCCUGCCACUGCAUGCCGUUGUUCCGUCGGCUGCUCCGUCCGUUUCCAGAUGAACCGGACCGUUCAUCUUCAUCAAAUUCAACCGCUGGAAAAAAGAGGAAGAGAAAUCAAAGAGAUGAGGAAUUUCAAAAGCAGGAUGAAAUAAUAUUAGAAAAUUUCAAACUUAUAAGAGAAACGGAUGAGAAAAUAAUAUUGAUUGAGGAGAAAAGAAACCAAAUACUAGAAAGAAUUGCAAAAUCUUGCGAAUCUCUUCAACAAGAUUUUGCACUUUCAACCCAGAGGAGUUUCUUGAGAUAAAAUUCAAAAAAUAGUGCAGUACGCAACAAGAUUUGAUGAUAAGGUUGGUGUUUUCGAUUUGAUUGUCUAGCCCUUUUCCGAUUCUCCGAAACCUAGCCUUUAAAUGACCAAAGGCAUUCUCGACAACUCUUCUGCUCUUUGAUAGAUAGUAGUUGAAAUUUUUUUCAACUGGAGUUAAGGCAAUGCUAAAGGGAUAUGGUUUCAUAAGAACAUCGGAAAAUUUAAAUGCCGAAUCUCCAAUAAAAACGACAGGAACAUUAAAAUUGCAAAGGUUUCUUGACAUGUUCUUUAGUAUAGGAUUCUCAUGCUGUAUUCUAACGGAAGAAUUUUCAAAAAUUUGGGAAUCGUUGCACCGGCCUGGACUACCAACAUUUAUGUAAAUGAAUCUAUAUCUAAAUUAAUUGAACAUAAGAAUAAAUGAAGGUUCUUUUAUAAAAUGUUUACAUGAAAUCGACAAUGGCUAGCAGUACCGUCGAGUACCAACCCUUAUAAUUAUAGUAAUUCUAAAUUCUAAAACAUACACGGAAGACUUAUUUUGAAUGAAAACAUUGUACAAAAAGGA
This is a long non-coding RNA of Eupeodes corollae, 1255 nucleotides long. RefSeq lists it as uncharacterized. The transcript is spliced from 3 exons. Lineage: Eukaryota; Metazoa; Arthropoda; Insecta; Diptera; Syrphidae. The record is from RefSeq and is a predicted model, not a curated record.